RNAcentral lists this ribosomal RNA (459 nucleotides) under uncultured bacterium. RNAcentral describes it as "SSU rRNA". It matches the Rfam family "Bacterial small subunit ribosomal RNA", at positions 26 to 518 of the family's 1533-position model. The record is from RNAcentral.
AGAACGAACGCUGGCGGCAGGCUUAACACAUGCAAGUCGAGCGCGCCCUUCGGGGUGAGCGGCGAACGGGUGAGUAACGCGUGGAACGUGCCCCUUCUUCGGAAUAGCCUCGGGAAACUGGGAGUAAUGCCGAAUACGCCCAUUUGGAGUGAUCCAUUUGGGGAAAGAUUUAUCGGAGAGGGAUCGGCCCGCGUUGGAUUAGGUAGUUGGUGGGGUAAUGGCCUACCAAGCCGACGAUCCAUAGCUGGUUUGAGAGGAUGAUCAGCCACACUGGGACUGAGACACGGCCCAGACUCCUACGGGAGGCAGCAGUGGGGAAUCUUGGACAAUGGGGGCAACCCUGAUCCAGCCAUGCCGCGUGAUCGAUGAAGGCCUUAGGGUUGUAAAGAUCGUUUCAGCUGGGAAGAUAAUGACGGUACCAGCAGAAGAAGCCCCGGCUAACUCCGCGCCAGCAGCCGC